UUUACCUCAAGAGUUCAGCCCCGGCCACCAUCGGACACUGACAACUAUACUCCGGUUCUAGGAGACACAAUCCGAUUGGACCCAUCCAGCUUCUGGAUUGAUUCUCCCAGGGUCAAAUGUCCACCCACAGUCCAAUCAGCUGGACCUCAGAAGAGGCUGGGGGAAAGGGGCCUCCCUGCUACCGUCUAAGGACGAUUUGCGCCACUAAGCGGUGGGACAGGCUGGGUGGGAGGACCCCUGACCCGGGGACUCAGUCAUGCUGUGUCUUCUGUCUCUGCCUCUCUGUGUGUCAGCCUUGUUCUCUCCCUGCAAGCUGGUGAUCUCCAUGCGGCUCCCAGCAACUCUGGAUCUACACGUCUGGGAGAAGGAAAGCUCCUUCCACUUUCAACAUGAUGAAUCCCAGGGAAGAAUGCUGGUUAGCCCCGCUUAGGUCAUGGAGAAGAUAAGGGAAACUGAGGCUCUGAGGGACAGAAGCACCUAACCCCGUGGAGCAGGUUUCACCGGAGGACUUCCGACUCCAGCGUGGAUUCUUUCCAUUGCUGUGUGCCGCUUCACUCUCUGUGGACCCCUGAGCAGUUAACCAUAGCCGACCUGGAGCCUGGCCGGUACUUCCAGAGGAGAAACCCCUCUGAGGCUCCACCAUCUCCAAGGUGCCUGCUCGAGGACCUCCCCCAAUCUCCCUGUCCGGAUGUGGGGACCCUUCUGUGGCCAUCACCUCAGAGAUGACAGGCCUGGCAAUGGUCAGCUUGCUCCAGGGAAGUCUUGAGGGAAAUGCAAUCACUGUUUACACAUCCCUGUGGGACUCAGAUUUAGGUCAGAUGAAGCACAUGUGUCCUGGAAACCCCCGAAAAGACAUAGGAAGGUUCCAACCUGAUGUGACGAGAGACUUCUAGUGGCUAGAGAUGUCUCCAGGACAAAUGUACGUUGCUGGGUGAGGUGCGGGUCCCCUGUCGCUGGAGGCCUAUGGUUUGAGAUUGACUCUCCCGUUGGAGGACAGGACGAGGAGCCGCACGUGUGGAUUAUACCCUGUGACAUUCUUAGUCCCCUCUCAGCCCUGAGCUUUGCAGGUUUCUGUACUCGUGGAAGCUUUAUUUCCAUUCCAUUCCUUUUGUUAUAGAGAAUACUUAAUGUGAUGAACUUUGCCAUUUGCUUCCCAGCAUCCUCCCAGCCCUCCCAGCAUUCCAGAACAGCUGCCAUUCCGUUCUGGUGGGACUGGCCCCACCCCAGCCCGGGUGGGGCAUGGGGGUGGUGGCGGGGACAGAGGCCCUGGUUCACCUCCGCCAAUGAGCAUGACGCCAUCUCUUGCCACAGCGUUGGUUUGCCGGGUGGGCAGUAACUGAAAACAAAGGCAAUCGGGACAGAGUUUUCUCUUGGACACAGAUUUAGGUUCAGAUGUGGGCAUGGGACCUCAGCAGCACAAGCCUGGGUACCCCCCAGGACCAUGGUGCGCCAGCUGCGGGAAAGACUGCUCCGUCUCCGGUGGGCCAGGCUGAGGAAGCGCACACUCGGGAUAGCAGAUCCACUCAGCGCCCUCCCCGUACCGCCCCCCACACCCCUGUCCCAUUUCCAAUCAUCAGCUCUGGCUUGUUUUGUUUUGUCUUUUUUUUUGGCCUACUGUGCCUGCUUCCGGGACAGGCCUGAAGUACCAGGGCCACUCGAUGGGGUCAGUUUACCAUUUUCCUGCUAGUGUCUCUGGUGAUCACGUCUCAAAUAAACGUCCUUGCCUCAGGAUCCGGGGGGAAAUCUAGCCUAUAGCACCUGGAUUGCCGCUGACAGCCACCCGGAAGCCUUCAUGAGAGCCCCUGUUAAGCCAGCUUGAGUUGGGGCUUCUAACACCUGCACGCAAAAGCCUCGAGGGGGAGGUAAUUCACUGCCCAGAGGGCCCCAAGCAUGGCCUUGGAGAAUGGGGUGGCCCACGUGAAUGUUGGGUGAGGCGGGGAAAGAGCGUGCCGUGGAAGACCGUUGCGUGGACCUCUCAGCUCGGCCACCUAGGAGCUGCUUGCUUGGCCUCUCCAAGGCUUGCUUCUUCCUCUAUAAAACAGGAUGGUGCCACCAGCCUUUCAGGAUUCAGGACCCAGCUGACCGGAAAGCGAGUGUCCCCAUGGAACUCCGCACCCAGACCUUUACAGCAGCUUUGUGCGUCGUGGCCCCAGACCCGAAGCAACCGAGAUGCCCUUCUCUAGGUGAACGGGUCAACAGACCAUCAAAAUUCUGUCUCCGAGUAAUUGCAGAUUAUUCAGUGAUACCACAAAAUGAGCUAUGAAGCUAAGAUACGGUGGAAGCUUCAACGCGUAUUGUGAAGGGAAAGAAGCCAAUCUGAAAAGGCCACAUUCUGUGUGAUUCCAAGGAGGUGGCGUCUUGGAAAAGAACACAACUCUAGAAGAAGUAAAGAGCUCGGCGAUGCCAGGGAUUGGGGGAAGGCUGACCAGAAGAAUCAUCUAGAAGGUCAUCGGAUUCCAGGACGGAGUGCGGAAUGUGACCGAACAAUGUAACCGAAUGACAAAUGUGUGAAUGAACUGGACUGAAGGGGGUGGGACAAAGGUGCCGACCUAAGUGAUUCUGGAAACGGAAGAGGAUAAAGAUGGAAGAGCUGAAUACAAGUGGCGCUCUAGCUGUACUCGAAGGUCCCCCCGCCCCCAGGGGAGCUUUCUGACAGUUACAUGUGGACAUAAGCACCUCGGUGAACUGAUGGAGACUGGCUCCUCACUGUCAAGAUGGAGGUUACAAAUAGGUAGGAAGAAGAGGCUAGAAUAAACCUAUCUUUAGCACAGCAUCAUACCCUAUGGGUGGCUACAUAUAGAAAUAUUUAAAAGUAUGUAGAGGCACAUGGCUUUGUAUACACGCAGAUAUGUUUUUGCUCCAGCAGCUGAGCAAGGCCUGGAAGCAACAAUAUCCCAACGUCAAUGCACACACCUGGUACCCAGAUCUUGGUUUCUAACACUAUUCUCCAAUAAAAGGUGCCAGGACUCCUCGGAGAAAGGCUGAUUCUGGAACUGGGGCAGGAAAUACACAAAUGAGCUAGAAGCAUCUAGUAGUGCCAAAAAGUAAGAAAGUACAUUCUUGUGUGCAUGUGCUCUCUCUCUCUCUCUCUCACAUACACACACACACACACACACACACACACACACACAAUGCACGCACAGUGAUGGAGGCUUGUCGAAGGACACAGAAGACAAGUGACUGUUCCUAACAGUCAAAGCUAGAACAAUUUGAGCAAUGAAAUAAAGCAGUAUUGGAUUAUAACUCAAAAUAUAAAAUCAAGGCCCAAGGGUCCAUAGUGACAUAAAGGAAUAAACAGAAGAGUCAAGCCUCCUGUACAGAAGAAUUCCAAGUAAUCUGUGUAGAUCAUCUGCCCUUGGGGAGGUGGGACAUAACUCCCCAGUCCUUAAAUACUGGUUGUGCACAGUGACUUCUUUCCAAAGAUCACAGUGUGGUCGGGGUGGAGGGAAGGUGGAAAGAGCCACUUUAGCAUGGAGAAAUCCAACAGUUACCUCGCCAGGUGACCAAAGUUAACCUUAUCAGUGAUAAGCCGUGUCGAUAUUACGAACUCUUGAUAGAAUAUGAUGCAAAUAGCACCAUGCCUGUCUGUGGUCUUUCUCUCAAGAACACAUAAUUCCUGCCUGUUCACUAGAGAAACUUCAGGAAAAAUCCCAACUGAAGGACCUUCUACAAAAUACUUGACUUGACCAGUACUCCUCAAAAUUGUCAAGAUAAUAAAAAACAAGGGAAGUCUGAGAACAGUUCUAGCCAAGAGGAGACUCAGGAGAUAGGACUGCUACGCAGAAAGUUUAUUCUUUUUUUAACCCAUGGAAACAAUAAAUGCUAAGUAAGGCUAGCUAGGACCCAGAACACUCGAAGAAUCUACUCAACUAACAGAUAUAGAAAUAUUUUCUGAUGAGUAUUUUGUUCAAGUUCAUUCUUUGUAAGUAUAGAUCGAGGGUUAAAAAAAACAACAACUGGAUCUUUGGAUGAACAUGACAGAAAAGUAUAAAUUUUGGUAAAAUUUUAUCUUAGGAUGACAGAGAAUUGAUAAUAUUUUUAUUAAAAGAGAGUUAUUAGAAAUUAAUGUAAAGUAUAUAUACUCUUGUAUCAUCACCUCUGAUUUUAAAAUUUAAGUCCACAAGCGCCAAAAAAAAGAUGUCAGUUAUAAUUCUUGUAGAAUAUGAAAACAUCGGGGGAAAAUUAAAUUUUCUCUUUGGGAUGAACUCAAUGUAUUAUGCCCCCCGAAACAAUCUAAGAACAAUGUCGACCCUCAGAUCCAAUCCCUCCUCACUACACAGGUUGGGGACUGUGUUCUCCAGCUCAGCAGAAGCCUGAGGCUUCAUUUUCUGGACAGGAUAAAAUGAGGAUAUCCAGACAGGAAGACAGCAGGCACGGAUGAGUGGGGAGUAUUAAAAAUGGUAUUAAAUGUUAGUUUACUUAAUAGAUGUUGAAACCUCCAGUGUUCUUCCCCCGCUCUAAUCUUGAAGUACCCACAGUGAGGCAUACACGGUCCUACACGAUCCAGGCAUGGACUGUGUAGGCAUUCCCUAAUAAAAUGUAUGGCCUGAUAGUCUAGAGAGAACCCAUAGUCACCAAGCGCCCCCAACACAUACACACACACACACUCACACACAUGCACCGUGUGUACCGCAAAACAUCCAGUUAGAUAUGGGGGUCUUCCUCAGACAAGAAGACAGCCAGGAAUCAUCUACCUCUUGAGGAAAGUGUAUCUACUAAGAGACAAAAGCAACUUAGAAGAAACAGAGGGAGAAGAAAACAGGAGAAAUGGUCGUGAAUAUCUUCAGAGAGAUGAAAAGAAUUACCGCGUGUAUGAGGCAUACGAGAGGAACCAUAGAAUGGACAUCCAGAGAACAGAACACAAGCCCUUAGACAUUAAACCCAUAGUAAGAACAACAGUUCAGUACGUAAAGAGGAUGGAAAGACGCACCAAAGGCUAGGAGAAAAUAUUUGCAAAACACACAUGUGAUAAGGGCUUGUAUCUAAGAUACACAAAGAGGGACGCCUGGGUGGCUUAGGGGUUGAGCAUCUGCCUUCAGCUCAGAGGGUGAUCCCAGGGUCCGGGGAUCAAGCUCCACAUUGAGGACUCUCUCCGUGCGGGAAGCCUGCUUCUUCCUCUAUGUGUCUGCCUCUCUCUCUGUAUGUGUCUCUCACGAAUAAAUAAAUAAAACCUUUAAAAAUAAAUAAAUAAAAUAUACAAAGAACUCUUAAAACUGAACAAUAAGAACACAAACAACCCAAUUUUAAAAAAAACAAGCAAACGAUCUGAACAGAUUCCUUCUCCGAGGAGAUAUACAGACGGCAGUAAACACGUGAAAGUCUGCUCCACAUCAUGCAUCAUCAGGAAGUAUAAAUUAAAAUAACGAGACACCACUACACGCUAGUUAGAAUGGCUGAAAUCCAAACCACUGACAACACCAAAUGCUGGUGAGCGCGUGGUGCGACAGGAACUCUCAUUCAUUGCUGGUGGGAAUGCGAAGCGGUGCGGCCCCUUCAGCAUGCAGUCCCCAAGUCUCUCACAAAGCUAACCAGAGCCUACCAUGCAAUCCAGCUCCUCGGCAUUCACCCAAAUGAGCUGAAAACCUUUGCACACACACCUGCACGUGAACGUGUAUAGCAACUGUAUUCACGAUUGCCCCAUCCUGGAAGCGACCAAGGUACUCUUCAGUAGGCGCCUA
Molecule: long non-coding RNA, 5678 nt
Organism: Nyctereutes procyonoides (raccoon dog)
Lineage: Eukaryota; Metazoa; Chordata; Mammalia; Carnivora; Canidae
Exons: 7
Source: RefSeq, a predicted model, not a curated record